This 253-nucleotide ribosomal RNA is filed under the name uncultured bacterium. RNAcentral describes it as "partial 16S ribosomal RNA". It matches the Rfam family "Bacterial small subunit ribosomal RNA", at positions 524 to 776 of the family's 1533-position model. The record is from RNAcentral.
UACGUAGGGUGCAAGCGUUGUCCGGAAUUAUUGGGCGUAAAGAGCUCGUAGGCGGUCUGUCGCGUCGGCUGUGAAAACCCGGGGCUCAACCCCGGGCCUGCAGUCGAUACGGGCAGACUAGAGUACGGCAGGGGAGACUGGAAUUCCUGGUGUAGCGGUGAAAUGCGCAGAUAUCAGGAGGAACACCGGUGGCGAAGGCGGGUCUCUGGGCCGAAACUGACGCUGAGGAGCGAAAGCGUGGGGAGCGAACAGG